AACGCACAUUGCGCCCCUUGGCAUUCCGGGGGGCACACCUGUUCGAGCGCCAUUUUGACCCUCAAGCACAGCUUGGUGUUGGGCUAGGUCCCGGGGGACCUUCCCGUAACUCGUAGGCGGCCGACGCCCGCGCCCCCAGCGUAGCAAGCUCACGCGUUCGCUCGGGGACGGCGCGUCUGGCCCGCCAGGCAAAACCUAAACCCUUUCAAGGUUUGGCCUCGGAUCAGGUGGGGAUACCCGCUGAACUUAA
This 250-nucleotide unclassified non-coding RNA is filed under the name uncultured fungus. RNAcentral describes it as "partial contains 5.8S ribosomal RNA, internal transcribed spacer 2, and large subunit ribosomal RNA". The record is from RNAcentral. Lineage: Eukaryota; Fungi.